AACGAACGCUGGCGGCAUGCCUAACACAUGCAAGUCGAACGAAGGCUUCGGCCUUAGUGGCGCACGGGUGCGUAACGCGUGGGAACCUGCCCCCUCGGUUCGGAAUAACAGUUAGAAAUGACUGCUAAUACCGGAUGAUGACUUCGGUCCAAAGAUUUAUCGCCGAGGGAUGGGCCCGCGUAGGAUUAGCUAGUUGGUGGGGUAAAGGCCUACCAAGGCGACGAUCCUUAGCUGGUCUGAGAGGAUGAUCAGCCACACUGGGACUGAGACACGGCCCAGACUCCUACGGGAGGCAGCAGUGGGGAAUAUUGGACAAUGGGCGAAAGCCUGAUCCAGCAAUGCCGCGUGAGUGAUGAAGGCCUUAGGGUUGUAAAGCUCUUUUACCAGGGAUGAUAAUGACAGUACCUGGAGAAUAAGCUCCGGCUAACUCCGUG
This 434-nucleotide ribosomal RNA is filed under the name uncultured bacterium. Its description in RNAcentral is "bacterial SSU rRNA". It matches the Rfam family "Bacterial small subunit ribosomal RNA", at positions 29 to 507 of the family's 1533-position model. The record is from RNAcentral.